Molecule: long non-coding RNA, 261 nt
Organism: Lycium ferocissimum
Lineage: Eukaryota; Viridiplantae; Streptophyta; Magnoliopsida; Solanales; Solanaceae
Exons: 2
Source: RefSeq, a predicted model, not a curated record
GACGCCUGCUCAAUAAAAUAUAAGCAUGUAAAAGAAGUGAUCAAGUAUGAGGUAAUAAGCAUAUUUUAUUUGUUUGAGAAACAAACACUAUUUCUUUAUAUAAGAAAAUUUUGAAAUGCAGCAAAUAUAGGUAUACAGCCAACUUGAUCAGAAUUAAGUAACUCUUAACCCUCCCUUCGCUUAUCUUCUUAGAACCACUUAAGGAAUAAAAGAAGGCAGCAUAUUCACAAGAUAACCUCCUUGUCAUGAUGGUAUAUAUUA